AGUCGCGUGGUCUAAUGGUCAUGAUUUUCCGUUAACACGUGAUCGGUCACCUGAUUACUUCUACAAUUGUAGAUGCCGGAACGGUUCCCGGUUCGAUCCCGGGCGUGACUA
Molecule: transfer RNA, 111 nt
Filed under: Aspergillus carlsbadensis
Lineage: Eukaryota; Fungi; Ascomycota; Eurotiomycetes; Eurotiales; Aspergillaceae
Description: tRNA-Val
Source: RNAcentral